This 1938-nucleotide ribosomal RNA is filed under the name Staphylococcus aureus. Its description in RNAcentral is "partial 23S ribosomal RNA". It matches the Rfam family "Bacterial large subunit ribosomal RNA", at positions 963 to 2904 of the family's 2925-position model. The record is from RNAcentral. Lineage: Bacteria; Bacillati; Bacillota; Bacilli; Caryophanales; Staphylococcaceae.
CCAAUUAAUUUAACUUGGGAGUCAGAACAUGGGUGAUAAGGUCCGUGUUCGAAAGGGAAACAGCCCAGACCACCAGCUAAGGUCCCAAAAUAUAUGUUAAGUGGAAAAGGAUGUGGCGUUGCCCAGACAACUAGGAUGUUGGCUUAGAAGCAGCCAUCAUUUAAAGAGUGCGUAAUAGCUCACUAGUCGAGUGACACUGCGCCGAAAAUGUACCGGGGCUAAACAUAUUACCGAAGCUGUGGAUUGUCCUUUGGACAAUGGUAGGAGAGCGUUCUAAGGGCGUUGAAGCAUGAUCGUAAGGACAUGUGGAGCGCUUAGAAGUGAGAAUGCCGGUGUGAGUAGCGAAAGACGGGUGAGAAUCCCGUCCACCGAUUGACUAAGGUUUCCAGAGGAAGGCUCGUCCGCUCUGGGUUAGUCGGGUCCUAAGCUGAGGCCGACAGGCGUAGGCGAUGGAUAACAGGUUGAUAUUCCUGUACCACCUAUAAUCGUUUUAAUCGAUGGGGGGACGCAGUAGGAUAGGCGAAGCGUGCGAUUGGAUUGCACGUCUAAGCAGUAAGGCUGAGUAUUAGGCAAAUCCGGUACUCAUUAAGGCUGAGCUGUGAUGGGGAGAAGACAUUGUGUCUUCGAGUCGUUGAUUUCACACUGCCGAGAAAAGCCUCUAGAUAGAAAAUAGGUGCCCGUACCGCAAACCGACACAGGUAGUCAAGAUGAGAAUUCUAAGGUGAGCGAGCGAACUCUCGUUAAGGAACUCGGCAAAAUGACCCCGUAACUUCGGGAGAAGGGGUGCUCUUUAGGGUUAACGCCCAGAAGAGCCGCAGUGAAUAGGCCCAAGCGACUGUUUAUCAAAAACACAGGUCUCUGCUAAACCGUAAGGUGAUGUAUAGGGGCUGACGCCUGCCCGGUGCUGGAAGGUUAAGAGGAGUGGUUAGCUUCUGCGAAGCUACGAAUCGAAGCCCCAGUAAACGGCGGCCGUAACUAUAACGGUCCUAAGGUAGCGAAAUUCCUUGUCGGGUAAGUUCCGACCCGCACGAAAGGCGUAACGAUUUGGGCACUGUCUCAACGAGAGACUCGGUGAAAUCAUAGUACCUGUGAAGAUGCAGGUUACCCGCGACAGGACGGAAAGACCCCGUGGAGCUUUACUGUAGCCUGAUAUUGAAAUUCGGCACAGCUUGUACAGGAUAGGUAGGAGCCUUUGAAACGUGAGCGCUAGCUUACGUGGAGGCGCUGGUGGGAUACUACCCUAGCUGUGUUGGCUUUCUAACCCGCACCACUUAUCGUGGUGGGAGACAGUGUCAGGCGGGCAGUUUGACUGGGGCGGUCGCCUCCUAAAAGGUAACGGAGGCGCUCAAAGGUUCCCUCAGAAUGGUUGGAAAUCAUUCAUAGAGUGUAAAGGCAUAAGGGAGCUUGACUGCGAGACCUACAAGUCGAGCAGGGUCGAAAGACGGACUUAGUGAUCCGGUGGUUCCGCAUGGAAGGGCCAUCGCUCAACGGAUAAAAGCUACCCCGGGGAUAACAGGCUUAUCUCCCCCAAGAGUUCACAUCGACGGGGAGGUUUGGCACCUCGAUGUCGGCUCAUCGCAUCCUGGGGCUGUAGUCGGUCCCAAGGGUUGGGCUGUUCGCCCAUUAAAGCGGUACGCGAGCUGGGUUCAGAACGUCGUGAGACAGUUCGGUCCCUAUCCGUCGUGGGCGUAGGAAAUUUGAGAGGAGCUGUCCUUAGUACGAGAGGACCGGGAUGGACAUACCUCUGGUGUACCAGUUGUCGUGCCAACGGCAUAGCUGGGUAGCUAUGUGUGGACGGGAUAAGUGCUGAAAGCAUCUAAGCAUGAAGCCCCCCUCAAGAUGAGAUUUCCCAACUUCGGUUAUAAGAUCCCUCAAAGAUGAUGAGGUUAAUAGGUUCGAGGUGGAAGCAUGGUGACAUGUGGAGCUGACGAAUACUAA